This 503-nucleotide ribosomal RNA is filed under the name Pseudoalteromonas sp. 6Bf1S88. Its description in RNAcentral is "bacterial SSU rRNA". It matches the Rfam family "Bacterial small subunit ribosomal RNA", at positions 380 to 876 of the family's 1533-position model. The record is from RNAcentral. Lineage: Bacteria; Pseudomonadati; Pseudomonadota; Gammaproteobacteria; Alteromonadales; Pseudoalteromonadaceae.
AGCCUGAUGCAGCCAUGCCGCGUGUGUGAAGAAGGCCUUAGGGUUGUAAAGCACUUUCAGUAAGGAGGAAAGGUUAGUAGUUAAUACCUGCUAGCUGUGACGUUACUUACAGAAGAAGCACCGGCUAACUCCGUGCCAGCAGCCGCGGUAAUACGGAGGGUGCGAGCGUUAAUCGGAAUUACUGGGCGUAAAGCGUACGCAGGCGGUUUGUUAAGCGAGAUGUGAAAGCCCCGGGCUCAACCUGGGAACUGCAUUUCGAACUGGCAAACUAGAGUGUGAUAGAGGGUGGUAGAAUUUCAGGUGUAGCGGUGAAAUGCGUAGAGAUCUGAAGGAAUACCGAUGGCGAAGGCAGCCACCUGGGUCAACACUGACGCUCAUGUACGAAAGCGUGGGGAGCAAACAGGAUUAGAUACCCUGGUAGUCCACGCCGUAAACGAUGUCUACUAGGAGCUGGGGUCUUCGGACAACUUUUCCAAAGCUAACGCAUUAAGUAGACCGCCUGG